CCAAAGGAAAAUAUAAAGUUGCCCAAAGAAAGCAGGAAAGUUAAAAACAAUGAGCUGGACUCACAAAACAUAAGCAUGAAACAUAUAGGCGGAAAAAGAGGUGAAGAAAAUGUGAAAGUUACAACUGUAAAUGGGAAAUCAUUCCAAUUAUGGCUCAAUUAAGGCAAAAGCAACCAAGGACUCUGAUCCCUUAUACUGUUCACCUUACUGGAUACGACGAGAAAAAUCUAAAUGAGUGAGAGAUAAUAGACAUCAUAAGCAGAACAGACAGCCCCAGAUCAGUUAUAGUUGGGCACCUGAAAGAGUCUACUGAGCCAUUUAACCAAGUGUACGAAUCUGGAAGUGUGAGGGUGUUAGGACCUCUUGGGCAGUGCAAAGCAGGUGUGUUCAGCAAAUCUCUUCUUCCAUGUGUACAGCAGACAGACCUUCCCAGUUGAUCAGAGGAUCGCCAGUAGGAUUGAAGC
Long non-coding RNA from Homo sapiens (human), 464 nucleotides. RefSeq lists it as uncharacterized. The transcript is spliced from 3 exons. The record is from RefSeq and is a predicted model, not a curated record. Lineage: Eukaryota; Metazoa; Chordata; Mammalia; Primates; Hominidae.